Molecule: ribosomal RNA, 519 nt
Filed under: uncultured eukaryote
Lineage: Eukaryota
Description: bacterial SSU rRNA
Rfam family: Eukaryotic small subunit ribosomal RNA
Source: RNAcentral
GGCACACCCAGAGUGGGAGCCUGCGGCUUAUUUUUACAUUUCACUGGGGAACCUUUUUCCGACGUCGUGACUGGGGAGAACCCUGGAGUGACCCAACUUAAUUGCUUUGCUGGGUGGUGGUGCUUGGCCGUUGGCGUCGGUGGAAGAAUUUGUCUGGUUAAUUCCUAUAACAAACGAGACUCUCCCCUAUUAAAUAGGCUCCCAGGUUUUAAACGCCGGGAGGACCUCUUAGAGGGACAGGUGGCGGUUCAGCCGCACGAAAGAGAGCAAUAACAGGUCUGUGAUGCCCUUUGUUGUCCGGGGCCGCACGCGCGCUACACUGAAGAGAUCAGCGUGCUUUAUGUUCCUGCUCCGACCGGAGUGGGGAACCCAGUGAACCUUCUUCGUGAUUGGGAUAGAAGAUUGUAAUUAUUCUUCUUGAACGAGGAAUUCCCAGUAAAUGCGAGUCAUAAGCUCGCGUUGAUUACGUCCCUGCCCUUUGUACACACCGCCCGUCGCUACUACCGAUUGAACGAUUAG